GAAGACGUACCUAAAUUUUAAAGGACCACUUUGAUAGGGUGUGUUGUGGGGGUUAAAGUCCCCCCGUCUUUC
RNAcentral lists this transfer RNA (72 nucleotides) under Trachinops taeniatus (eastern hulafish). Its description in RNAcentral is "tRNA-Ile". It matches the Rfam family "tRNA". From Rfam's summary of the family: Transfer RNA (tRNA) molecules are approximately 80 nucleotides in length. Their secondary structure includes four short double-helical elements and three loops (D, anti-codon, and T loops). Further hydrogen bonds mediate the characteristic L-shaped molecular structure. tRNAs have two regions of fundamental functional importance: the anti-codon, which is responsible for specific mRNA codon recognition, and the 3' end, to which the tRNAs corresponding amino acid is attached (by aminoacyl-tRNA synthetases). tRNAs cope with the degeneracy of the genetic code in two manners: having more than one tRNA (with a specific anti-codon) for a particular amino acid; and 'wobble' base-pairing, i.e. permitting non-standard base-pairing at the 3rd anti-codon position. Lineage: Eukaryota; Metazoa; Chordata; Actinopteri; Plesiopidae. The record is from RNAcentral.